GGUGAACGCUGGCGGCGUGCUUAAGACAUGCAAGUCGAACGGGCUCUUCGGAGCCAGUGGCGCACGGGUGAGUAACGCGUAACUGACCUACCCCAAAGUCGCGGAUAACGAUUCGAAAGAAUCGCUAAUACGUGAUGUGCUGUCAGAUCCUGUUCUGCCAGUAAAGAUUUAUUGCUUUGGGAUGGGGUUGCGUUCCAUCAGCUAGUUGGUGGGGUAAAGGCCCACUAAGGCGACGACGGAUCGCCGGCCUGAGAGGGUGGCCGGCCACAGGGGCACUGAGACACGGGUCCCACUCCUACGGGAGGCCGCAGUUAGGAAUCUUCCACAAUGGGCGAAAGCCUGAUGGAGCGACGCCGCGUGAGGGAUGAAGGUAUCGGAUCGUAAACCUCUGAAUCAGGGACGAAAGACGCGAAAGCGGGAUGACGGUACCUGAGUAAUAGCACCGGCUAACUCCGUG
Molecule: ribosomal RNA, 457 nt
Filed under: uncultured bacterium
Lineage: Bacteria
Description: partial 16S ribosomal RNA
Rfam family: Bacterial small subunit ribosomal RNA
Source: RNAcentral